This is a non-coding RNA of Podarcis lilfordi (Lilford's wall lizard), 70 nucleotides long. The record is from the annotation of a GenBank genome assembly. Lineage: Eukaryota; Metazoa; Chordata; Lepidosauria; Squamata; Lacertidae.
GGGCUGUGGCUUUUUGGUAGAGCAUCUGUUAUGAAUGCAGAAAGCCCAGGUUCAAGUCCUGGCGUGUCCA